CUGGAUGCAGCAGGGAGACAGGUGAGGACAAGGGCAAUUCCAAUCCAGUGCUGGAGCUGUGAGCCCACCAUGGACUCAGAGGCUUUCCAGAAUAAGUAACAUCCAACCGGAAGUCUAAAGGCUGAGCUAUCCAAGUGAAGAGGAGGGACAAGCACUUUCCUGGUAGAGAGAAUAAAACAUGCAGUUCCAUAUGUUUAAGGAACUGAAAAUAGUUCAGUGUGGUGGGACCAUGGUACUUGAAGGCAGGAGGGGUGGCCAAGAGGCUGCAGGGGCAGCAGGGGUCUGACUCCUGCAGGCCUGCUUGCUAAGCCAUGGGAGGAGUUGCACUGACUCUGAGGACAGGAGAACCUGGAGGGGGGGAGGGAGUUUCUGCUGGGAUUAUGUUCAGGACUGUUUGGAAAGACCUUGCUGGCUGCCCAGUGGAGUUUGGGAUGGAGGGAAGUGAACCUGGGUGCCCAGAGACCAGUGAGGUGGCUGGUCCAGCUAUCAGGUGGGGGCUGGAGGGGGGUUUGUGUGGGUGGGUGUGUGGGGUGCGUUUAGGAAACAGUAUGGCUCUAACUCAGGCAAGCUCAGCGACAUCUUCACCCUGCAGGGUCCGAGCCUACCCUAUCACGGUAAUCUUCACACUACUCUGAGCAUUUACUGUGUGGACAUAUCCAGCUAAGUGCUUGGAAUUUACAAGUCCAUGCACAAGGCCCUUCUGUAUGCUCAUCACAGGUGAGGUGUUGGGGGCCCCAGAAGAUGCAUAAACCAGAUCUGGUCAUAUGGGAGAGGGAGUUCAUAAAACUUUCUGAGCCUAGGUAUAGAGGGCAGAGUCUGGAGCCGGCUGUGUGGGCUGAGAGGAGGUGACUGCCUCUGGCCAGUGAGCAGCCACCACCCUCUGACUACUCACCUGGAGCCCAAGGCCUAACCCUGCUGUGCCCUGUUCUCUCUGACACCUCUUCAUCACACUCCCCAUGGUCACCCUGUCUGCAAAUGGAUAACCAAGACUGUUGGAAGUUCAACUGCUUUUGUAAAAGGUGCUCCUCCCACUUUGCUACUGGGCUCAGAGAACUGAAGUGAGUUGCAGUCAUGGACCUGGUGAAUGCCAGGCAGGGAUCCGAACUCUGACUGAUUCACCCUCCCACUUCAUGGAGUGACUUGCUACUUCCAAGUUCAUAGCCACUGUGCCAAUUUUCUAGGGCUGCCAUCACAAAAAUACCAGAGACUGGUGGCUUGAACAGACAUUUGCCUGGGGCCGUGGCACACAACUGUAAUAGCAUCUACCAGGAGACUGGCAGGAGGAUCUCAAGUUCAGGCCAGCCUGGGCCAUGGAGCCAGAGCCUGGAGAGAGGAGGAGAGAGAGGGAAGGAGAGAGGAGGGAGGGAAGGAGUAAAUAAAAGGAAACAACAGACAUUCAUUCUCUCACAGUUUUGAAAAUUGAAAGCCUAAAAUCGGGAUGUGGUAGCUUUGAUUUCUCCCAAGGUCUCUUUCCUGGGUUUGCAGAUGUCCUACUACGGACACCCCCAGUAUCUCUCUGGAUGUUUUUGUCUCCUUAUAACGACAUCAGUCAGAUUGGAUUGGGGCCCACACAAGUGGCCUCAUUUUAACUUAACCACCUCUUCAAGGCCCUAUUCCCAAUACUUUCUGAGGCACAGUGGGUCAGGACUCCAACACGUGAAUCGGUCACACCCCACUCACUGUCUCCAGGUGGUGCUGAAAUGCCUCAGAGACCCACGACCUGUAGAAUGUCCGGGAUAGAAGGGCUCCAGCAUGGGCCCCCUCCACCAUUGUCCUGAUGUGGUCACGGUGCACGAGGAGGACAGGGACUGGCCCAUCUUCACCCGGCUGGGCAGGAGCAGAGCUGAGACACACCCGGUAAUGGGAAUCUCCUGAGUGCCCAGCAUCAUCCCCCUCUUCCCACUCACAGAGAGCUUAGUUUUGGGGGGUGAUUUUGCCACCUGCUCCCUUCUCUCUGUGAGGUGAGAGGGGUUCAGCUCUGGGGAAGGUCUUGGUUAGAUAAAACUGAUCCACAUAUCCCAUUUUCCUGCCACCAUGGUGUGUUCUGGGACAGAUGUGCAGCCCCAUCUGGAAACCCAGCUCUUUGUAUUUUUUGAGACAGGGUCUUGCUCAGUUGCAGAGGCUGGCCUUGACCUUGUGAUCCUCCUCCCUCAGCCUCCCAAGUCACUGGGAUUACAAGAAGGUGCCCCACCCCCAGCCAGCACUCAGGAUAGUUUUAAUGGGUACACAGGCUGCAGGUGGCUGCCACUAACCCACUCUUUCCUCCAGGGUCCCGGCUGUUGCAAUGGCUGUGCACAGGUAUCGGUAGAAGUUCUAAGUCGCAUGGAACAGGAAUGGAUUUAAACAGAGAAGGAAUGCACUGAAAGGCUCACAUUGUCCCUGGGAGCGCUGGAGAAUUAAGCUCCUUGACUAUGUAGCCAAACCACACUGUAACUGGGCCAUCGAACUAGAGUGGCCAGGUUGCUGCCACCACCACCAUAGUCACAACCAUAGCCACCAUCGUUGCCACUGCUGACUGGACUCCCCUGCCUGUACUGCUGCUGCCCUGCUACUUUGGAGGCAGAUCUUGCUGCAGCUGCCACCACUGCCUCCCUGGGCCAGUGGUCAAGUCAGAGUCCCCUGGCUGGUGAUGCUGGGGCCAGUGCCUGCUUCCCAGCUGUGAGGGAGGCUGGGAAAGCAACUAACUAGCCCUUUGGGUUUCUAGAGUGGGAGGUGGGACCUGCCUCCCUACAAAUCUCAUAAAGUGAGGGAUUCUUUAAAUCCAGGCUGGGUCUCCAUGGUGGGAUUCAAAAAACAAAACCACACAUUCAACAUGAGGCAGAAGGGACUGAGAUCCAAUGGGGACACUAGCUUCAGUGUAAUACAUGAUAAGUCUGAACUGAAGAAUGCAGCUUGAACCUCCCUCCUGGAACCCAAUUUUCCAGGGCUGUUCUGCCUUGCUGAGCGGCGGCAGGGCAGCAGGAGCAGCACAGCGAUGAGAUUCCAAAGGGCAGAUCCAGGGGAAGGCCAGCAACUGAGCAUGACCUGUCCUCUGCCUCCCCAUAUAGACCAGGGGUGGAGAGGACCGAAGGGUCUCUGAUGCCUUCUCCUCCUUGUAGAACCCAUGGGAAUCUCCCUUCUCACAUGGACAUAAAGCCAAGAUUGAGGUAGGGUGUGAGGGUUGGAGGAGGAGGGAGAAGAGGAUGGCGCUCCCAGAGUCCCGGAGGCAAAGUCAGAUAUCCGGGGGGCCUGGAAGGUGAGAAGGGAGGAGCGCACCUUUGCACAUUUAGUGUACAAGGAAGCGUGGCCUUCACUUCCACACAGAACUGCCCUCUGUUUGUCCUUAAACAUUUGCUUCUGCGUGUGUGCGUGUGCGUGUGUGGGGGGGCAGUCUUGACAAUUUUGAAGGACAUGGGACAUGCUGGCUCUCUUCCACUGGCCCUUCCUUCAGAGUCUUCCUGCCUCCCCAUUCCUAACAGUGCUGGGUAGAGGCUGAUCCGCAUGGACUCCCUUGUCUGCUGGCUUCCAAUGGUGUAGCUCCUGGGAGCCACAGAGAAGACUGGAGGGAGUGGAGGAGAAUGUAUUUGAAUAACUAUUUUGAGGGCUUCCUUCCCAUGGAGUGACCCAGCCUCAGCCAGGUCAGCAGCCCCCUCUCUGCAGGCCUCCUGCCCAUAUCCUUUCAGAUUCACAGUGGCAAUAGCUCCCCCUCUGUAGCCCUGGGGACUGUAUCUUUCAUUCCCUAGAUCCUGGCCGUACCGUAUAGAUAAUCCCAGUAAAUUCUCCUCAGUUGCCCAGCAUAAAAGCCAUCUGUUCCUGCUGGAACCCAGAAUGAGUGGGAGAAUGCUUCUCUACCCAAGAAAAAAUAGCUCACAUGAGAAAAAACAGGAUCCCAGUCAUCUCGUGCUCCUUCAUGUGAGGUGGACAGUAGGGAAUAGUAGGGACUGUGACAAAUGGAAAGCACAGAGCCUCUCAAAUCCUAGCCUUUUGUUGCCAUGACAGUGACUGUCCAACAUUGCCAGUUCUUCCCAUUUUUUCCAGAGUGACAAAACAUCAGAUUUUCAAGAGAGAGCUCCAGUUGUCCAAGGUUAGCUCAGAUCAGUUUCAGAAGUCAGGGUGAGAGCCAGGCCAACAACGAGAGCUGAACUUGGCCACAGGUAUGCUUAGCAAUAGCUGGAUGUCACUGACAAGGACCAUGAUCUAGAGACAGACGGAACAACGCCUGAGGGCAACAGAACAGCACCCAAGGACGGGACCGAUGGGCACCAACUUGGAACUGUAUUUAAACCGCUGUCCUGCCACAUCAGAGAGCUUCGCUCCUAGGACGUCAGUGAGACUGGCCGCCUUGCUGGCCGUCACUGGAUCGAUUCCACCAUUCCCUGGUGUCCAAUCAUCGGCUGGAGAGAACCACUGCACAACAACAACAGUAACAAUGACAACAACGUUCCCUCUUCAGCUAAGAGAAGUUGCGUAGCAUCGGAGGUACUUGGAACUCGUGGUUGUUCUGGGAUUGUUGUGAUGUGUUUAAUUAGUGUGAGCUGA
This 4518-nucleotide long non-coding RNA is filed under the name Marmota monax (woodchuck). The record is from RNAcentral. Lineage: Eukaryota; Metazoa; Chordata; Mammalia; Rodentia; Sciuridae.